This 69-nucleotide small nuclear RNA is filed under the name Ursus americanus (American black bear). The record is from RNAcentral. Lineage: Eukaryota; Metazoa; Chordata; Mammalia; Carnivora; Ursidae.
CUUAAAANAAGAUUAGCAUGGCCCAUGUGCAAGAAUGACACGCAAAUCUGUGAAGCAUUCCACAAAAAG